This 895-nucleotide ribosomal RNA is filed under the name Nocardiopsis sp. RNAcentral's name for it is "bacterial SSU rRNA". It matches the Rfam family "Bacterial small subunit ribosomal RNA", at positions 588 to 1475 of the family's 1533-position model. The record is from RNAcentral. Lineage: Bacteria; Bacillati; Actinomycetota; Actinomycetes; Streptosporangiales; Nocardiopsidaceae.
UCUGCUGUGAAAGACCGGGGCUUAACUCCGGUUCUGCAGUGGAUACGGGCAUGCUAGAGGUAGGUAGGGGAGACUGGAAUUCCUGGUGUAGCGGUGAAAUGCGCAGAUAUCAGGAGGAACACCGGUGGCGAAGGCGGGUCUCUGGGCCUUACCUGACGCUGAGGAGCGAAAGCAUGGGGAGCGAACAGGAUUAGAUACCCUGGUAGUCCAUGCCGUAAACGUUGGGCGCUAGGUGUGGGGACUUUCCACGGUUUCCGCGCCGUAGCUAACGCAUUAAGCGCCCCGCCUGGGGAGUACGGCCGCAAGGCUAAAACUCAAAGGAAUUGACGGGGGCCCGCACAAGCGGCGGAGCAUGUUGCUUAAUUCGACGCAACGCGAAGAACCUUACCAAGGUUUGACAUCACCCGUGGACCUGCAGAGAUGUGGGGUCAUUUAGUUGGCGGGUGACAGGUGGUGCAUGGCUGUCGUCAGCUCGUGUCGUGAGAUGUUGGGUUAAGUCCCGCAACGAGCGCAACCCUUGUUCCAUGUUGCCAGCACGUAGUGGUGGGGACUCAUGGGAGACUGCCGGGGUCAACUCGGAGGAAGGUGGGGAUGACGUCAAGUCAUCAUGCCCCUUAUGUCUUGGGCUGCAAACAUGCUACAAUGGCCGGUACAAUGGGCGUGCGAUGCCGUGAGGUGGAGCGAAUCCCUAAAAGCCGGUCUCAGUUCGGAUUGGGGUCUGCAACUCGACCCCAUGAAGGUGGAGUCGCUAGUAAUCGCGGAUCAGCAACGCCGCGGUGAAUACGUUCCCGGGCCUUGUACACACCGCCCGUCACGUCAUGAAAGUCGGCAACACCCGAAACUUGUGGCCUAACCCCUUUUUGGGGAGGGAGUGAGUGAAGGUGGGGCUGGCGAU